RNAcentral lists this transfer RNA (493 nucleotides) under Paramuricea clavata. The stretch from base 112 to 184 matches the Rfam family "tRNA". Lineage: Eukaryota; Metazoa; Cnidaria; Anthozoa; Malacalcyonacea; Plexauridae. The record is from RNAcentral.
CCUGAGUACACAACACCAACAUAGGAAAAAAAAAAAAAUCAUAUUACAAGAACACAUUGGUAUUGAAGGAACUAGAUACUGUUCCGAAAUAUCACUUACUCGAACCGUCCUGACCGCGUAGCUCAGUUGGAAGAGCAUUGGGCUAGUAUUCCAAAGGUCGUAGGUUCGAAUCCCACCGUGGCCGGGCAUAUUUUUCAAGCUCGCCCGGUGUGGAUAUGCACUCAGAGUAACAUCACAAACAUAUUAUUCACCUGAGUACACAACACCAGCACAGAAAAAAAAAAUUCAUAUUACAAGAACACAUUGGUAUUGAAGGAACUAGAUACUGUUCCGAAAUAUCACUUACUCGAACCGUCCUGACCGCGUAGCUCAGUUGGAAGAGCAUUGGGCUAGUAUUCCAAAGGUCGUAGGUUCGAAUCCCACCGUGACCGGGCAUAUUUUUCAAGCUCGCCCGGUGUGGAUAUGCACUCAGAGUAACAUCGCAAACAUAUUU